RNAcentral lists this long non-coding RNA (412 nucleotides) under Ananas comosus (pineapple). RNAcentral describes it as "long non-coding RNA (ACOM_LNC026354)". Lineage: Eukaryota; Viridiplantae; Streptophyta; Magnoliopsida; Poales; Bromeliaceae. The record is from RNAcentral.
AAUCAUGCUUUUGUUCCAUUUUUUAAAUGAUGGCAAAUGUAUUUAAAGGGGGGCUUGUAUGUUGUUUGUGAUAUAACUUCAGAAAAAUUUUCUAAGUCCUAAUUAUUUAUUGAUUUGUAAUUGUGAGUUUCAUUAAAAGGUUGUAAAAAAGUUUUGUGCGCUUGUAAACAGUUUUGGUCUUACCUUAUUCAAAAAGCCAAGUGAUAGUAAAAUCAGUACCUGUAGGAGAAGAAAGACCGGACUGGAGUAGACAGAAAGGCCGAAUCAGGAUAAAUCAUCUGUAUUAUUUGAGUUUGAUUUUCUUUUUUUAUUUGAUUGUGUAAUUUUUAUCUAGAUUUAAUUUUACUUGAGUUUUUACUUGUCAACUAAUUCACCCCCCUUUAGUUGUCAUUUGAUCCUUCUAUCCAAUCUU